UCCGGUUUAUCACCGGCAGUCUCCACAGAGUCCUCGGCUUUCACCCUUCUACUACCUGCAUGUCCAGCCUGGGUAAGGUUCUUCGCGUUGCGUCGAAUUAAACCACAUGCUCCACCGCUUGUGCGGGCCCCCGUCAAUUCCUUUGAGUUUCAACCUUGCGGCCGUACUUCCCAGGCGGGAUACUUACUGCGUUAGCUGCGGCACCGGCGGUAACCCGCCGACACUUAGUAUCCAUCGUUUAAGGCGUGGACUAC
RNAcentral lists this unclassified non-coding RNA (254 nucleotides) under uncultured Nitrospiraceae bacterium. RNAcentral's name for it is "contains 16S-23S intergenic spacer region". Lineage: Bacteria; Pseudomonadati; Nitrospirota; Nitrospiria; Nitrospirales; Nitrospiraceae. The record is from RNAcentral.